UUUGCUGGGGUGGAGGGAAAAUUGGGUUUUGGACUGUCUUUUUGUUUUGUAAGGCGACUGAUCUUUACUUCCUGCUGGAACUAAACUGCAGCUAUGGUGUGUUCCUUCUCCUUUUCUUGUUUACUUAUUUAUCACCUAAGAAAGUUUCCAGGUAGGAUUGUUGCCACAUAUAGUCCUGAUAAUUAUUUUCUUGUCCAGAAUUCCUCACAGCCUUCUUUUUUGAUCCCAUUGAUCUACGUAUCAUUGGCCAGGGGAGAUGAAUCUUCUGGGGACAGGAGAAUACUCACUCUUGCUAAACAAAUAAGCUAGUUUGCCUUUGCUUUAAUUAGGCAUAUUUUAAAGUAUUUAUUGUAGUUGCCAACUAGUAACUGGGUGGAAAAGUUGAUCUCCAAGCAAGAAAUGAAAAGUAAUUUGGUUGCUGACUGUAAUGUGUUUGGAGGCUCUUGUCUUGGAGUUUCAUGUCUGUGACCCAUGUUAUGAAGUUCAAAUAAAUUAUGAU
This 499-nucleotide long non-coding RNA is filed under the name Rattus norvegicus (Norway rat). RNAcentral describes it as "long non-coding RNA NONRATT008543". The record is from RNAcentral. Lineage: Eukaryota; Metazoa; Chordata; Mammalia; Rodentia; Muridae.